GCUUGUUUCACCAGCCUAUAUACUGAAAUUAAAUGAAAUAGAAAAGAUCAAUAUGAUCUCUAAGCAAGGAUGACAUGCAAACUUGUAAAGUACUGCAUAAUUUU
This is a small nuclear RNA of Sarcophilus harrisii (Tasmanian devil), 104 nucleotides long. The record is from Ensembl. NCBI's taxonomy places the organism in Eukaryota, Metazoa, Chordata, Mammalia, Dasyuromorphia, Dasyuridae.